RNAcentral lists this ribosomal RNA (450 nucleotides) under uncultured bacterium. RNAcentral's name for it is "SSU rRNA". It matches the Rfam family "Bacterial small subunit ribosomal RNA", at positions 26 to 523 of the family's 1533-position model. The record is from RNAcentral.
AGAGCGAACGCUGGCGGCAUGCUUAACACAUGCAAGUCUCACGGGCAGCAAUGUCAGUGGCGGACGGGUGAGUAACGCGUAGGUAUCUAUCCAUGGGUGGGGGAUAACGUCGGGAAACUGACGCUAAUACCGCAUGACAUCUGAGGAUCAAAGGCGCGAGUCGCCUGUGGAGGAGCCUGCGUACGAUUAGCUAGUUGGUGGGGUAAAGGCCUACCAAGGCUACGAUCGUUAGCUGGUCUGAGAGGAUGAUCAGCCACACUGGGACUGAGACACGGCCCAGACUCCUACGGGAGGCAGCAGUGGGGAAUAUUGGACAAUGGGCGAAAGCCUGAUCCAGCAAUGCCGCGUGUGUGAAGAAGGUCUUCGGAUUGUAAAGCACUUUCGGCGGGACGAUGAUGACGGUACCCGCAGAAGAAGCCCCGGCUAACUUCGCGCCAGCAGCCGCGGUAA